RNAcentral lists this long non-coding RNA (424 nucleotides) under Anser brachyrhynchus (Pink-footed goose). Its description in RNAcentral is "lncRNA (ENSABRG00000018631.1)". The record is from RNAcentral. Lineage: Eukaryota; Metazoa; Chordata; Aves; Anseriformes; Anatidae.
ACGGGCUUCAGGCAGGACGAUGAGCGGGGUUGUGCUGUCAGCAGCCGGUCCCUGCACAGGUCAGUUUGCAGAACCAGGCCCUGAGUGGCGCACGCUUCGUAAGGGCACCCAGGGUCAUUUGCCAGCCUCCCGCCUUCAGCUUAUUUUUAGAGCCUGCUUUUGGAGGAGAUGCAUACAUGCAAAUGCCUUUCCUCCUCCCCCCUCCGCCGUGCUGGUGCAGGAUCAUAAAUGCCAAGCUUUGCUCGCUAUUUCUGGUGGUGUGGAAUUGUGCCACCGGGUCCGGACCCCGCUGCGCUUGUUGCCACACCGUCGGGCCCGGGCCCUUGCUACAGCAGGUACCACCGGCCUGGGGUGGCUGCCUUUCCAGCUGCCACCUCCCUCCCUUCACGAGGAUGUUACCGUCCCUGCGAAGCCACUGCCCUGA